UACGGGGGGGGCAAGCGUUGUUCGGAAUUACUGGGCGUAAAGGGCUCGUAGGCGGCCAACUAAGCCAGACGUGAAAUCCCUCGGCUUAACCGGGGAACUGCGUCUGAUACUGGAUGGCUUGAGGUUGGGAGAGGGAUGCGGAAUUCCAGGUGUAGCGGUGAAAUGCGUAGAUAUCUGGAGGAACACCGGUGGCGAAGGCGGCAUCCUGGACCAACACUGACGCUGAGGAGCGAAAGCCAGGGGAGCAAACGGG
This 253-nucleotide ribosomal RNA is filed under the name uncultured bacterium. RNAcentral describes it as "partial 16S ribosomal RNA". It matches the Rfam family "Bacterial small subunit ribosomal RNA", at positions 524 to 776 of the family's 1533-position model. The record is from RNAcentral.